UACGUAGGGUGCAAGCGUUGUCCGGAAUUAUUGGGCGUAAAGAGCUCGUAGGCGGUUUGUCGCGUCGGAUGUGAAAGCCCGGGGCUCAACCCCGGGCCUGCAUUCGAUACGGGCAGACUAGAGUUCGGUAGGGGAGUCUGGAAUUCCUGGUGUAGCGGUGAAAUGCGCAGAUAUCAGGAGGAACACCGGUGGCGAAGGCGGGACUCUGGGCCGAUACUGACGCUGAGGAGCGAAAGCGUGGGGAGCAAACAGG
RNAcentral lists this ribosomal RNA (253 nucleotides) under uncultured bacterium. RNAcentral's name for it is "partial 16S ribosomal RNA". It matches the Rfam family "Bacterial small subunit ribosomal RNA", at positions 524 to 776 of the family's 1533-position model. The record is from RNAcentral.